GCAAACCCAUUCCAGCGCCAUUCCUUGUACAUUUCAUUGUUUCUUCCUUUUUCUUUCUUUUUCUUUUCAUUUUGCUCUGUUCUGGGCUGGAGGAGGACGGAGAGCAGAGAUGAGGAGAACGAGGAGGAGAGCGAGGAGGAGAGGGGAGUAGGAAACAGCGGGAUCGUGGAGAUUGAAUCCUUGCACUUUGAAGAGUUUACUGAAUUUGCUAUCUCUAGGGGGUUUUUUGGUUUAUAGCUGCACAGGAGAACCUUUUUGGACAUCGGGGAUCAGCUCGGAGAACUAGGUAGGGAUCUUAGUUAUUUGAUAUGUAUUCUUUUUGUAUAGAAUGUAUUUGAAUAUGUUACGACCUGAAACUUUUGUUUAGUUGGUUUAGUGAUGUGGUUGAGAAAAAUUACACUCUUUUGAUAAGUAUAUAUAUAUACAUUAGAGGUUG
Non-coding RNA from Punica granatum (pomegranate), 436 nucleotides. NCBI's taxonomy places the organism in Eukaryota, Viridiplantae, Streptophyta, Magnoliopsida, Myrtales, Lythraceae. The record is from RefSeq and is a predicted model, not a curated record.